This 294-nucleotide unclassified non-coding RNA is filed under the name Ascomycota sp. RNAcentral describes it as "partial internal transcribed spacer 1". The record is from RNAcentral. Lineage: Eukaryota; Fungi; Ascomycota.
AAAGUCGUAACAAGGUUUCCGUAGGGUAAGUUUGAAUCUGAAAAUUCCGCUUGUUGCAGUUACUAACGCAUUACAGUGAACCUGCGGAAGGAUCAUUACCGAGUUCGGGGUUUCCCCAACUCCCACCCUUGUUUACCUCGACGUUGCUUCGGCGAGACGUUGGAAGCAGCCAUCGGCAAUUUGUGACAAAUGCCCCGAUGCGUGCUCGCCGGACUCCAAAUACUCUUAGACUAUGUACAGUCAGAUGAAACAAGCAAUAUAUAAAAACUUUCAACAACGGAUCUCUUGGUUUUG